This 301-nucleotide ribosomal RNA is filed under the name uncultured bacterium. RNAcentral describes it as "partial 16S ribosomal RNA". It matches the Rfam family "Bacterial small subunit ribosomal RNA", at positions 509 to 808 of the family's 1533-position model. The record is from RNAcentral.
CAGCCGCCACGGUAAAACGUAGGUGGCAAGCGUUGUCCGGAAUUAUUGGGCGUAAAGGGAGCGCAGGCGGGCAUGUAAGUCUUUCUUAAAAGUGCGGGGCUCAACCCCGUGAUGGGAAAGAAACUACAUGUCUUGAGUACAGGAGAGGAAAGCGGAAUUCCCAGUGUAGCGGUGAAAUGCGUAGAUAUUGGGAGGAACACCAGUGGCGGAGGCGGCUUUUUGGCCUGUAACUGACACUGAGGCGCGAAAGCGUGGGGAGCAAACAGGAUUAGAUACCCCAGUAGUCCCUGUCUCUUAUACA